UACGGAGGGUGCAAGCGUUAUCCGGAUUCACUGGGCGUAAAGGGUGCGUAGGCGGUCGGGUAAGUCUGAUGUGAAAUCUCACAGCUUAACUGUGAAACUGCAUUGGAUACUAUUCGGCUUGAGAGUUGGAGGGGGGACUGGAAUUCUUGGUGUAGCAGUGAAAUGCGUAGAUAUCAAGAGGAACACCAGUGGCGAAGGCGAGUCCCUGGACAACUUCUGACGCUGAGGCACGAAAGCUAGGGGAGCAAACAGG
Molecule: ribosomal RNA, 253 nt
Filed under: uncultured bacterium
Lineage: Bacteria
Description: partial 16S ribosomal RNA
Rfam family: Bacterial small subunit ribosomal RNA
Source: RNAcentral